Molecule: ribosomal RNA, 495 nt
Filed under: uncultured bacterium
Lineage: Bacteria
Description: partial 16S ribosomal RNA
Rfam family: Bacterial small subunit ribosomal RNA
Source: RNAcentral
GACGAACGCUGGCGGCGUGCCUAAUACAUGCAAGUAGAACGCUGAAGGAGGAGCUUGCUCUUCUGGAUGAGUUGCGAACGGGUGAGUAACGCGUAGGUAACCUGCCUGGUAGCGGGGGAUAACUAUUGGAAACGAUAGCUAAUACCGCAUAACAGUAGAUGUUGCAUGACAUUUGCUUAAAAGGUGCAAUUGCACCACUACCAGAUGGACCUGCGUUGUAUUAGCUAGUUGGUGGGGUAACGGCUCACCAAGGCGACGAUACAUAGCCGACCUGAGAGGGUGAUCGGCCACACUGGGACUGAGACACGGCCCAGACUCCUACGGGAGGCAGCAGUAGGGAAUCUUCGGCAAUGGACGGAAGUCUGACCGAGCAACGCCGCGGGAGUGAAGAAGGGUUUCGGAUCGUAAAGCUCGGUUGUAAGAGAAGAACGAGUGUGAGAGUGGAAAGUUCACACUGUGGCGGUAUCUUACCAGAAAGAGACGGCUAACUACGUG